CCAAUAGCGUAUAUUAAAGUUGUUGCAGUUAAAAAGCUCGUAGUUGAAUUUCGGGAUCAAUAUAUCGGUCGUGCCAUCGGUACGUACUGGUAUCAUUGGUUUCUCCUUUCUGACGAACCAUGAUGUCAUUAAUUUGGUGUUAUGGGAAGUUAGGACUGUUACUUUGAAAAAAUUAGAGUGUUUAAAGCAGGCUUUAGCUUGAAUACAUUAGCAUGGAAUAAUGAAAUAGGACGUUCGAACCUAUUUUGUUGGUUUCUAGGAUCAACGUAAUGAUUAAUAGGGAUAGUUGGGGGCAUUAGUAUUCAAUUGGCAGAGGUGAAAUUCUUGGAUUUAUUGAAGACUAACUACUGCGAAAGCAUUUGCCAAGGAUGUUUUCAUUAAUCAAGAACGAAAGUUAGGGGAUCGAAGACGAUCAGAUACCGUCGUAGUCUUAACCAUAAACUAUGCCGACUAGGGAUCGGAUGAUGUUAAUUUUUUAAUGACUCAUUCGGCGCCUUACG
This 500-nucleotide unclassified non-coding RNA is filed under the name uncultured Glomus. RNAcentral's name for it is "SSU rRNA". It matches the Rfam family "Eukaryotic small subunit ribosomal RNA", at positions 591 to 1092 of the family's 1831-position model. Lineage: Eukaryota; Fungi; Glomeromycota; Glomeromycetes; Glomerales; Glomeraceae. The record is from RNAcentral.